This 465-nucleotide ribosomal RNA is filed under the name uncultured bacterium. RNAcentral describes it as "partial 16S ribosomal RNA". It matches the Rfam family "Bacterial small subunit ribosomal RNA", at positions 338 to 795 of the family's 1533-position model. The record is from RNAcentral.
CCUACGGGGGGCAGCAGUGGGGAAUAUUGCGCAAUGGGCGAAAGCCUGACGCAGCGACGCCGCGUGAGGGAUGAAGGUCUUCGGAUCGUAAACCUCUGUCAGCAGGGAAGAACGGUCACUGUGCUAAUCAGCAGUGAAUUGACGGUACCUGCAAAGGAAGCACCGGCUAACCCCGUGCCAGCAGCCGCGGUAAUACGGAGGGUGCGAUCGGUAAACGGAAUUACUGGGGGUAAAGCGCUCGUAGGGCGGAAGCCAAGUCAAGGGGUAAAUCCCCGCGCUCAACGUGGGAACUGCCUUUGAAACUAGCAAACUGGAGUGUGUGAGAGGAUAUUGGAAUUCCAGGUGUAGGAGUGAAAUCCGUAGAUAUCUGGAGGAACAUCAGUGGCGAAGGCGACUAUCUGGCACAUAACUGACGCUGAGGAGCGAAAGCGUGGGUAGCAAACAGGAUUAGAUACCCCAGUAGUC